Molecule: long non-coding RNA, 2815 nt
Organism: Homo sapiens (human)
Lineage: Eukaryota; Metazoa; Chordata; Mammalia; Primates; Hominidae
Exons: 2
Source: RefSeq, a predicted model, not a curated record
CUUUACAAGGAAGGCAAGAUUUCCUGCUUCCAUGAUGAUGAAAGGCAUGUAGAGUUUGAGCUCACUCCCAGCAGGGAAGACCAGUUUGAGUUUUUUUCCUGCUUCUAGGGUGGUAGAAAGCAGCCUUCAGCCUGAGACCCAUCCCUAGAAGAGAAAGAAAAGAAGGAAAGAAAGCAAGCAAGCAAGAAAGCAAGCAAGCAAGAAAGAAAGAAAGAAAGAAAGAAAGAAAGAAAGAAAGAAAGAAAGAAAGAAAGAAAGAAAAGAAAAAGAAAGAAAAGAAGAGCCUUAAGGUCAACCUACAAACUACAGAGUUCCUAAGUUCUCUUUUUUCUCUAUUUUCUUUUCUGCCUGCUUUAAAUCUGCUGUUAUUUUUCUAUUAAGAUCAAAACCACUGUUUGGAUACAACAGGCUUUUUGUUUGCAACCUGGUGAAUUUGUAUUUGUCUCAUGGCUAAAGUUCUGAAGUAAAAGCUAUAGGAUUUCUGUGUGUGUGUUUGUGUGUGUGUGUGUGUGUGUGUGUGUAUCUAUUUAAAAGGCCUUUAUAAUUUUUAUAAUUUUAUGUUUAAUUGGCAAUUAAAUCCAUUUUGACUUCCCUCUAGCACCACCAGACUUUUUCUCUCUGUACCUUAUGAUAUAAUUUUGCUAUUUGAUUUUUGCCUGAGUUGUUUCCUUUAACAUGCAAACUUAAGGCUAUUUAGCUGACAACUCCCUAGGGGAGUAAAACAGGUUAUUAAGAAUUUGAAAGCCUAAGAUAGGGGAAAAAAGCUCCUUAAGUAUCUAUACGAUGUACUUCUAUCAGCAUGCCUACUAUGUCUAUAUAUUUAUGUGAUGUGUACACAAUUUCUCGCUACUGAAAAUAUAUAAAAGAGUUCUAAUUAAUUGGCUUAAGAUAAAAAGCACUUGAAUCUAAUACUUUAUCAGGAAAAAAGAAAAGACUAGUUGAAUGCUUUCUGAAGUUUAUGUAACAAGUAAAAUCUUUAAUAAAUAAGCUAGCUUUAAAAUUAUUGGUAAAGUAAUAUUAGACAUGUCUUAAAAAUUGCCAGCAUGCAUUUUUGUUUGCAUUUAUUAAUCAAGCAAUUUCAUGCUUAUCCCUGUCAAAUACCAUAAGGUGUCAAAAUUUGCCAUGGAGUUACAAAACUGUAAUAGAAUGAUCUUUGCUUGUAUAAUCUUUAAUAAAUAAGACAUUGAUAUUGGUUUAAUAAAAAUAGUCACAUCUUGAAUUUAGUGAGAUUACUGUAACUUCUAAUUUUGUGGUUUUGGUGGUCUAGUCCACAGGCAGUAAGAUUUAGUUUGAGAAUGAACUGUUAUAAUCUUUGUUUCAAAGGUAAACUAUAAACUAUGUUCCUCUCAACGUCUGUUCAGCCUGUGCCCAGGAUUGAACAAGAACAGUUUGGAGGUUAGAAGCAAGAUGGAGUCAAUUAGGUCAGAUCUUUUUCACUGUCUCAGUUAUAAUUUUGCAAUGGCAGUUCCAUAACUUUAAAUGAUGACUAUUGCAGUUUUCAUAAAUAAUCUAGGUAAACAAUUCCUUUUUAAAAAGGUGAACAAUUGUCAUCUAAUUCAAUGCUUAUUUAAAGAUUAUGUAUAAGACAAGUUAAAAGGAACCAGGAAAUCAGAGAGAUGUAAAGAAAGGUAUAAAAAUAAAGAGGAUAAAGAGGGUUCUUUUUGGUAAGGAAGCUUAAAGAGAAAUAAUUUCAUAUGAGAAAAGAUCUUGUAUGGUAAAUUUAGACCUAAAAUAAAAUGAUUGUUUAAGAAAGAUGGAUGUUCAAAACAAACCAGAAAGUCCAAGCAUAUCAUGAACAGUCUGUAAAAGUCAUAAUAAGAGGAUUAAAAAAAAAACCAACAAACUUUUAUAUGGUCAAGUUGUCUGUAAUUAAAAGGAAAUUAUAAUAGUCUUCCUGAAGAUUGGGCUUCAUGUAAAAAAAAAAAAGCAAUGAUAAACAAAAUAGUUAGAGCGAUGAAAUUUUCUUAAGGGAUUGAUUUACUCUUAUUAAAUUAUAAGAGAUUUUAAUUUUUUUAACCCAAAGUUCAACUGUUUACUCGCUGUUUUCUCUCCCCUUCAACUCGUUUGCAGCUCAUAUAAGUUAUUUUCCUUAAAUUCUAUUUGUUAUGGUCUGAUGCUAACAAUGUUUUCUAAAAGUCUAAAGAAAAUGUUUUCUUCCAAAGUAAUAUUCUGUGCAGUGUAGAAGGUCUUUUCUUUUGCCUUUGGGUAAUUGACCUAACAGAUUUUAUGGCUUAUUGAAACAAUGCUAUGCUGUUAUUAUUAAUUUUUGAUUUGCUCAGGAAAAAGUAUCUGAGAUAAUUUUUUAAAAUUAAGGUUAUUACAUCCAUGUAUAUUUCUGUAGGUGCUUUGAAAGUACCUGUGACAUUAAGUUACAGGCCUUUGACUCCUGGGUCUAAAAAGGACACCAAGGUCUGCUAAAUCUUAAGCACUGACAGCAAUUAAAACCUCAUCUUCAGGCCUGGUAGAAGAUGCCAAUCAAAAUAAACUGCAUUCCUGAGACAUAAGGCCAGAAGUAAAAGCUAUUCAACUCCUCAAGGCUCAGGAACUACCACAGAAGAGGUAGGCAUGUGAGAUUGUAAGGGCUGAUUUUGAGAGACAAAAUAAGUUCAGUUUCUCUGCAAGUUAAUAAUUGAUGUCAAAGGCACACUGAUGCAAUACCAGCAUACGGGCCCCUGCGUCAGAUUAAAAAGGUUUUCUUGAAGUGUUAACCGACCCCUUAAUAAAGGUUAUAAAGGUUAAAAAAGGCUUAUGGAAGCUGUAUCUUAUGGUCAAGAUUAAAAUUUUAAAGAUUGAUAAUAAAAUUUCAAAAAACAAA